UGUACUUUCUUGAGCGAACCAUGAAAACAUUUCUCGUUUUAUUGGCGUAUAUCGUUGCUGUAGCAACUGCACAAUCGGGAGGACACGGUGAAGAAGGUGAAACACAGAGAAAACAUUACGAUUACUACGCACCACCUCAUUACAAUUUUGAAUACAAAGUUCAUGCCGGUCAUACGGGAGACGUCACACGAGACUAGGGAAGGAGACAAAGUUAAAGGAUUCUACGUACUGAAAGAAGCUGAUGGUACAGUCAGGGAAGUCCAUUACACAGCUGAUCACUCCCAGUGCACCACGAAAAAGUGGAAGAAGAGCAAGGCCACGAGGAACAUCAUGACUGCUAUGCCCCACCCCACUACAGUUACGAAUACAAAGUUCACGACGAGCAUACGGGAGACGUUAAAUCUCACCAUGAGACUAGGGAAGGUGACAAAGUCAAAGGAUUCUACAUGCUGAAAGAAGCUGAUGGUAAAGUCAGGGAAGUCCAUUACUCCGCUGACCACAAAAAUGGUUUCAACGCCGAAGUCAAAAGGGUAAGGCAUGCUGUCCACCAUGUACCUAUGUACCAUCAUCAUUCGUAAAGAAUUUAUGUAAAACAUAUAGUAC
Molecule: long non-coding RNA, 603 nt
Organism: Cimex lectularius (bed bug)
Lineage: Eukaryota; Metazoa; Arthropoda; Insecta; Hemiptera; Cimicidae
Exons: 3
Source: RefSeq, a predicted model, not a curated record